RNAcentral lists this ribosomal RNA (253 nucleotides) under uncultured bacterium. RNAcentral describes it as "partial 16S ribosomal RNA". It matches the Rfam family "Bacterial small subunit ribosomal RNA", at positions 524 to 776 of the family's 1533-position model. The record is from RNAcentral.
UACGGGGGGUGCAAACGUUGCUCGGAAUCAUUGGGCGUAAAGCGCACGUAGGCGGUCCAGGAGGUCGGGUGUGAAAGCCCUCGGCUCAACCGAGGAAGUGCAUUCGAAACCACUGAACUUGAGUAUGGAAGAGGGUCGCGGAAUUCCCGGUGUAGAGGUGAAAUUCGUAGAUAUCGGGAGGAACACCAGUGGCGAAGGCGGCGACCUGGGCCAAUACUGACGCUGAGGUGCGAAAGCGUGGGGAGCAAACAGG